Molecule: non-coding RNA, 411 nt
Organism: Pelobates cultripes (western spadefoot toad)
Lineage: Eukaryota; Metazoa; Chordata; Amphibia; Anura; Pelobatidae
Source: the annotation of a GenBank genome assembly
UAUGGAAUAUGCUUCCUCCUUGUUCACUUUUGGUCAAACUGUUGGUCUGUGACUGGCCCUCUUUGACCCCAACUGAAUUUUUUGGGAAGAUACAUGAGAAAGAUACAGCAGGUUGUUUUGAUAUAAAGAAAGAGGGAAAAGUAUGUUGUAUCGGUCACAAAAGGAUUGUGAUCUUAAGCAGGCGAGACAAAGAAAUUUUGGAGGUGAUAGGAGAUUGAAUCAGAAAAGUUUUAGAGGCAGAGGUAGAGAAUUUGAUCAAAGGAUCUAACUUUUGUAGAGGUGGUAACUUCAGCACUGUUUUAAUUGUGGAUAGCAGGGAUUCACCCCAAGGUGCUUGUGGUGAACCCGGUUCUCCUGGUCAACCUGGCCCAGCUGGCAUUCAAGGACUCCCACCCUGGCAGGUUCCUCAAU